GGGGAUUUAGCUUAGCGGCAUAAGCACCUGUUUGGCAAGCACGAGGUCGUGAGUUCAAUCCCCG
This 64-nucleotide transfer RNA is filed under the name Cavia porcellus (domestic guinea pig). It matches the Rfam family "tRNA". From Rfam's summary of the family: Transfer RNA (tRNA) molecules are approximately 80 nucleotides in length. Lineage: Eukaryota; Metazoa; Chordata; Mammalia; Rodentia; Caviidae. The record is from Rfam by way of RNAcentral.